RNAcentral lists this ribosomal RNA (253 nucleotides) under uncultured bacterium. RNAcentral's name for it is "partial 16S ribosomal RNA". It matches the Rfam family "Bacterial small subunit ribosomal RNA", at positions 524 to 776 of the family's 1533-position model. The record is from RNAcentral.
UACGUAAGGGGCUAGCGUUGUCCGGAAUCAUUGGGCGUAAAGAGCGCGUAGGCGGCUAGAUAAGUCCGGUGUGAAAGUCACAGGCUCAACCUGUGAAUGCCGCUGGAAACUGUCUGGCUGGAGUUCGGUAGGGGAGACUGGAAUUCCUGGUGUAGCGGUGAAAUGCGCAGAUAUCAGGAGGAACACCGGUGGCGAAGGCGGGUCUCUGGGCCGAUACUGACGCUGAGGAGCGAAAGCGUGGGGAGCGAACAGG